UACGUAGGGUGCAAGCGUUGUCCGGAAUUAUUGGGCGUAAAGAGCGUGUAGGCGGCCCGAUUAGUCCGCUGUGAAAGUCCAGGGCUCAACCCUGGAAUGCCGGUGGAUACUGUCGGGCUAGAGUCCGGAAGGGGCGAGUGGAAUUCCUGGUGUAGCGGUGAAAUGCGCAGAUAUCGGGAGGAACACCUAGGGCGAAGGCAGCUCGCGGGGACGUACUGACGCUGAGACGCGAAAGCGUGGGGAGCGAACAGG
RNAcentral lists this ribosomal RNA (252 nucleotides) under uncultured bacterium. Its description in RNAcentral is "partial 16S ribosomal RNA". It matches the Rfam family "Bacterial small subunit ribosomal RNA", at positions 524 to 776 of the family's 1533-position model. The record is from RNAcentral.